This 460-nucleotide ribosomal RNA is filed under the name uncultured bacterium. RNAcentral's name for it is "partial 16S ribosomal RNA". It matches the Rfam family "Bacterial small subunit ribosomal RNA", at positions 338 to 795 of the family's 1533-position model. The record is from RNAcentral.
CCUACGGGUGGCAGCAGUGAGGAAUAUUGGUCAAUGGACGAGAGUCUGAACCAGCCAAGUAGCGUGAAGGAUGACUGCCCUAUGGGUUGUAAACUUCUUUUAUAUGGGAAUAAAAGGUGCCACGUGUGGGAGUUUGUAGGUACCAUAUGAAUAAGGAUCGGCCAACUCCGUGCAAGCAGCAGCGGUAAUAAGGAGGAUCCGAGCGUUAUCCGGAUUUAUGGGGUUUAAAGGUAGCGUGGGUGGAUUGUUAAGUCAGUUGUGAAAGUUUGCGGCUAAACCGUAAAAUUGCAGUUGAAAAGGGCAGUCUUGAGUACAGUAGAGGUGGGCGGAAUUCGUGGUGUAGCGGUGAAAUGCUUAGAUAUCACGAAGAACUCCGAUUGCGAAGGCAGCUCACUGGACUGCAACUGACACUGAGGCUCGACAGUGUGGGUAUCAAACAGGAUUAGAUACCCUUGUAGUC